RNAcentral lists this ribosomal RNA (261 nucleotides) under uncultured bacterium. RNAcentral describes it as "partial 16S ribosomal RNA". It matches the Rfam family "Bacterial small subunit ribosomal RNA", at positions 524 to 784 of the family's 1533-position model. The record is from RNAcentral.
UACAGAGGGUGCGAGCGUUGUCCGGAAUCACUGGGCGUAAAGGGCGCGUAGGUGGCUUGGUAAGCGUGUGGUGAAAGUCCGGGGCUCAACCCCGGAUCUGCCGUGCGAACUGCCGAGCUGGAGCAAUGUAGAGGCGGGUGGAAUUUCGGGUGUAGCGGUGGAAUGCGUAGAUAUCCGAAAGAACACCGGUGGCGAAGGCGACCACCUGGACUGAUACUGACACUGAGGUGCGAAAGCGUGGGGAGCAAACAGGAUUAGAAA